Schistocerca gregaria is the source of this 8145-nucleotide long non-coding RNA. RefSeq lists it as uncharacterized. The record is from RefSeq and is a predicted model, not a curated record. The transcript is spliced from 2 exons. NCBI's taxonomy places the organism in Eukaryota, Metazoa, Arthropoda, Insecta, Orthoptera, Acrididae.
CAGAGGAGGAGUGAGGAUGGGAAGGGAGGGGCACAGGGAAGGAAAUACAGCCCAGGAAGGAAGAAUAGGAUGCAAUAGCUUUGGGGCCCGUGGACGCCUUGUGCAAACUCGCGAAAGAACCUCAAGCCCCCUGUGGGGUUCAGUAUUUAGUGUACGGAUUAGGGAUACUUUCUAAAAUGUACCCUCCUUCCAUUUUUCAAUGAGACAUGAGACGUCACCUGUGUUCUAACAUUGCUUGCUAUAGGUCCAUCGAGAGUAAGGCAUGACAAACUUUAGUCAGCUGGAUGUGACUAUUGCCCAACAACACACCUAAUGGCCUAGAUGGUUUUCAUUAGCAUUAAAGGCUCGAUUGCAAUGCUACAAGUUAUGGAAGUCAAUUAAAACAAUACAACAACCACCUUAAAUAUCCGAGCGACAUCAUCAAAUGGUGCAAACAACCAAAGUGAAAAGAGUUAAAGAGUUCCAAUAAUACAUCCGAAGAUUUAUGACUAAGGCGGAUGUGGGAAAAAACACUAUUGAAGGGGGACAAUCUAUUAAAAAUACAAUUUACAGGAAAACUAAGGUUUUCAUGUUUGUCUGUCAAAGGUUUAUAGAAAGAAAAUAAUCACACAUAAAUGGAAGAACGGAAGGCAGAAUAGCCUUAAACACAGUUAAAAAGAAUCAAAGAAGAAAGAACAACAGGUUUACAACAGUAUCAUGGCAAUGCUACCAAACCAGGAAGGCCUGGGAUUUGAUCAGUUAAAAACAUGUUUUCUGAAAACAUCAAAAUCAUCUCACAUGAAUCUUUAUACCAUUUCACUGUCAACAUGACUUUUACUCAAAGUAAAAUUUUGGACUUCUGUAGUUAUUAUUUAACUGAUAAGGUGCCACGUACCAAAUCAAAGUUGUAGCCAAUAGCUACAUAUCUUCUUCAGCCCAAGUUUCAGAACACACUUCAGCUCUCAUCACUAUGCGGCCUUUCUAAUUAUUAUUUAUUAUUAUUGUUAAUUCCCCAUUAAGGAGAGCGUUAAAACACAAUAUUCACAAUGACAAUAUGGUACAUAAAUUGGUACAUUUCAAAUUCAUUGCACUUUUUUCUGUCUCUCUUUUCUCUUCCCAAAAACCUCUCAUAAAUUCACUGUGUUUCUUCUUCCUCUCUGCUGUCCACUUCUUUCCUGAUUUCUUCUCUUUUGGUGUUUCUUCGAAUUUCUGUUUGUUGGUUUUUUCUCUGUAUUUUCCUCUGUUUGAUAUUUCUUCUGUGGAGAUGUUUAGAUUUUUGAGGUCUUCCAUGGUUUCCUUUACCCACUUAGUUUUCACCUUAUUCGUCACCACUAUGUUAAAAAUCAUCUUGGUCAGCCUAUUUUCAUUCAUCCUAUGAAUGAGCCCAUAAAAUUUUGCCCUUCUUUUUCUGAUAUUGUCUGUAAUUGUCUCUACCUGUUUGUACAAUUCCUUUGUUGGUCUCUUUAUCCAGAUCCCCCGUCUCUGAACUGGCAUAUAGAUCUUUCUCAGAAUUUUCCUCUCUUGCUUUUCCAUUUCCUUGAUUUUAGUUCUUCCUCCGAUUACUGUUGUUUCUGAGGCACACAAGGCCUCAGGUAAGACUACUGUUUUGUAAUGUCUUAAUUUGGCAUUGACGGAAAUAUUUAUUUUAUUGUAAUGGUUCCAUGUAAGUCUGUAUGCUUUUUGUAGUUUUGUAACCGUUUCUUCAUUGGCUGUUGAAUUCAGUCCUGUUUUCGGUAUAACCUCUCCCAGGUAUUUGAAACAUUCUACUUAUGUUAUCUUUUCGUAUUUUGCUAUCAAUGGGCUUCUGUCUGUAGAUUUUGUGUCCACGUACUGGGUUUUUUCAUAUGAUAUUUGUAGUCCUGUUCUGGCUGUGAUUUCAUGCAGUAUCUCUAGGGCUUCUCUGGCUUCUUUUCUGUCAUUUGUAAUGAUGGCUAUAUCGUCGGCAAAGGCCAGACAUUUUAUCUUGACGGUUCUAUUUUUCUCUCUCCCCAUCUUUACCCCAUUGACUCCUUUGUCCCAAGUCCUGAUUAUUUUCUCUAAAACAGCGUUAAAUAAAAUGGGUGACAGGCUAUCUCCCUGUCUCACUCCUGUUUUGAUUUCGAAAGAUUCUGAGAUCUCGCCCAUGAACUUCACUUUUGACUUUGUAUUUUGUUAAUGUUUCCUGAAUUAGUUUUCUGGUCUUAUUGUCUACCUUCAUUUCUUCUAGUGUAUUAAAAAGUGUUUCUCUGUCUAUGGAAUCUUAAGCCUUCUUGAAAUCAAAUGCUACUAUGGUGUUUCUGGACUUUCUAGUUGUUAAUAAUGUUCUCAGACACCAGAUCUGCUCACUGCAUGAUCUUCCCUUCCUGAACCCUCCUUGGUAGUCUCCGAUCUGUGGAUCUAUCUGAGGUUAUAGGUGAUUUAACAGGCCUUUUGAUAUAAUUUUGUAUGCCACCGGCAGUAACAAAAUUCCUCUAUAGUUAUUAUGGUCUGUUUUGUCUCCUUUCUUGUGGAGGGGGUGUAUUAGGGCUGACUUCCAUUCUUCUGGUAUCUUUUCUGUUUCCCAGAUGUUUUUGAUUAUUGUUGUUGUUGUCGUCGUCAUCUUCAGUCCUGAGACUGGUUUGAUGCAGCUCUCCAUGUCCUCUGCAACCUUCUUCAUCUCCCAGUACCUACUGCAACCUACAUCCUUCUGAAAUCCUUCUGUUUUUGAUUAUACUAUGAAUUUUGGGUGUAAUGUUUUCAUGGUCUAAUUUCCAGAUUUCUGCAAUCAGUCCAUCUUCACCUGGUGUUCUGUUAUUUUUCAAUGAUUUUAUUAUUUUCACGAUUUAUUUCUUCAUAUGUUGGGGGUUCGGAGCCCCGGUUGGGUUCUGGUUUUGUAAACUAUAAUCUCUGUUUUGGUUUAUCACAGUUAAGCAACGUGUCAAAGUAUCUGACUAAUAUUUCACAGUUUUUCUUCGGAUUUGUCUCCAGUCUUCCAUCUUGUCUUUUGAAGCAUAAGCUUGGUGGCUGAUAUCCUGUCAUAUUUUCUCAGAAUACACUGUAAAAAUUUCGUGUUGUUGUUUCUGGUGAAGUCUUCUUCUAUCUCCUUAAACCUGUUGUUUUCGUAACCUCUUUUUUCUCUUCGGAUUAUUUUUGAUGUGUUUUUCUGUAUCCUGUUGAAGUCCUCCCAUUUUUAUUGUGUUUUAUGGCUGUUAAAUUUUUUCCAGGCUUGUAUUCUGUCUUCCAUGGCCUUGUUGCACGUCAUAUUCCACCAUCGGUGUUUCCUUUUUCUCGGUGGCUGCCCCAAUUUUAUCAGUUCUUUUAUUUUAUCUGACAGUUCUGUCCAGUUGUUGCUAUUGAUUUUCGUAAGUUCUUCUAUUAUUUCUUUCUUGUUUAUUUGUAGGUACUCUUGAUCUGUUCUGAAAGAAUUCCUCUAUCAUCUCUGGGUUCUUUUUGUUAUAAUUGUUUGGGGAGGCAUGUCCAUUGACUAAUGUAUAGGCUUUGUUUCCAGAUCUUAUUGUGAGUGUCGACAUUUUUUCUGAUUUUGAGGCGAAAUCUAUUACGGAGUGCAGUAUCGAUUUCUGUACUACAAAAACCAGUUCCAAAGAGUUUGAGAUUUCUUCCUGGGAUGGUUAUGGCUGGUUUCUCCUUAUAUAUUCUGUAAUUUUCAGAAUCAAAGUGGUUCUCAUCUGCAAAUCUUGUUUCCUGUAUUGCAAUAACUUUGAUGUUGUAUUUAUCCAUGGCGUUUGUUAAUUGUUUCAGUUUACCUGGCCUCAGUAGUGUGUUGGUGUUGAGUGUUCCCAUGUAAAAUACUUUCUUCAUCUUGAGGGUUUUUGAGAGGCUCCGAUUCUUCUCUUUAUGACAUGCCUGAUCCCCUGGAAUCCAACGAUCAGGUCUAUUACCCCGUCUUACUGACUGGGGCCCAGGGUAGUGGAUUCUUUCCUGUUGUUCUGUCAUGAUUAUUGGUUUGUGUUGAGGUAUUGGUGGUGAAAUCAUGAAGGAUCUCACAAUUUCGACUGGAGUUUUGAGUUCCAGAAGAUUAACUUACAGCCGAGCUCACAGAGCCAACAGACGCUGAUCAGAGUACCGGUGGCUGCCACGCAGACGUGUCUGGAUUUUGAGGCUUUGCAUGUAACCUUAUGCAGGGGCCCUAACAGGGUGCUACCAUCCGGAGCCAGAUGGACCCAGUAAUUUUUUUUUAAGGUGUUACUCCUCCCCCUCCUUCUUCCUCAUCACUUGCGAGAUGAGGCCCAGGGCUUGGGACCGGCAGUGCUUCAUUCAAAUAUCUGAUGAUUUAAGGGAACAAGAAGUGACCACUAUAAAUAUUGUGACAUUCUGUUUAGCAUCUGAACUUAUGGGAAAGAAGGUCCAAAUCUUAGAAGUAUUAGGAGCAGUUUCACAGUAAAAAACACAUAUGAUCAUCUACCGAUAAUUAAAAUCUCUGAGAAGCAGUGUGGCAUGUAAGAGACGUUUAUCUUAACUGCAGAAGUCAAAGAAUGUAACCCAAAAUUUGAGAACAUUUUAAUGACAGCUAUAAAAGAUGAAAGUGACAUCAGGAGGAAGUUUCGAACAUGCCUUGGAGAAGUUUUGUCUGGGGGGGGGGGGGCGCUUGUAACCCAAUACAUGUCAAUACAGUAGGAAAUAUAUCAGAAGUAAUGAGAAAAAGAAUACUGGAAUUUUUUGGAUAUUUAUACAAAUGAAAGAGAGUAGAUUAACCAAAAAGGCCUUCAAAUGUUUGUGGAAUAAGACGUCAAUAUGGAUCCACGAAUCAAUAAACCGGACAAGUGCAAGUGGGAGUCAUGUUCUGAGGGUUCCGUAAAAAUUCAAUUACAUAUACAGAUAAUAAUACUAAUUUCAUGUGGCUCAAUGGCCUGGAGCAAGUCUUUCUACUGGACCACCACUUUGACAGCUUUAGUGUCUCCUACCCACCCAAGUUAUCCAACUGGAUAUAGGGGACCUACUGUUUAACGUGGAAUCCAAAUCCCGUGCCAUUUCUGGUGUCAUCUCACACUGUUGGCAGCUGAAGGCUAGGUAAAAACAAAGACUGAAAAGUUCAUAGUUCAACCAAGAAUUGAUCCUGCACCCUCUCUGCUUCCUGGCACACACUUGACUGCUACACCAUCAGGCCAGAAGUGUGUAAAUUUUUCACCUAUAGGUUUCGAUGAUACUUUGCAAAAACCAGUGUAUGUGACAUAUGGUUGUAUCUUUUGAUUGUACUGACUUACAAGCUUUACUCUAGCAGGGAACUGUAGACUACAGUAUGUGACAAAUUUCAGUUUCACACCUAUGCCUGUUCCUCACAACAACAAAAAAAGAUCUUAACGGUCGAACAGACAGACAAUUUGAUCCUUUAAGGGGAGCCGGAGGUGCAUAUGCUGCCCAUGUUAAAAUCACUAAGUUUGAGGAACAUUUAUGAAUGAAACACCAAAUAGAAAAAUUUGAAUUUUUUUUUUUACAUAUAGAGUGGUUUAGUAUUGCAGUUAUGACAGAGGGAUUUUGGAGUAUCUUUUCUAGUUUCUUUCCAAAUUUUUUUUAUUAAUGACCCAAAUUUUUUUUACAAGUAAUUGCUUUAUAAUUAAACUGAAAUGAAACUACUGAACAUAUUGACAAAUGGCUGUGUUACAAUGUAAGUUUGACCACUAGGAGUGCUGUAUAAAAAUUUCACCUCUCUAGCUUGAGUGGAUUUUGAGAAAAUGUUCCUUACAUUCGAAAAAUUCUAAUUUACGGGAAAUGGCUAUCAAAGUUUCUCAAUACAUUCCUGCACUAUAGUAUGGAUUAUCAGGAUCGUCUUCCUCAUCCUCCAAAAGCUUCCUCUUCUGUGUUCUUUUCUGGCCUGUUGUUCCAUCAUACUUCAUAUGCCUUUCUCUUCUUUCUGCUUCUCUUAUCCUUUCUCUGUCAAUAUUUCUUAGUGGUCGUACAGUGUUCACCCCAGCUGUAAACCCUAAUGCCUGCACACUUGACACUGUUCCCUUGGUUGUAGGUUGCUAUUGCAUCAUAAAUGCCGAAGUGCAGUGUUUUUAUGCUUACAAACACUCUUUUAGGAAUCACUUUCCAAAUCAAAUUGUUUACGCUCUCAUUAGGAUUCUGCGUCUUUCUGUGUAGACAUUUGUGUAACAAUUCUGGCUGUGCUAAGUCAUGAAAUUUGGUUUUAUUGCAUUUAUCACAGCCGCUGGCAAACCGUGUUUGUGAUCAUAGUCCUUUUUUGCAUUAUAUUUGCACCAGGAAUCUUUUGGGCACAGACUGUGUUGAGGGUAUUCAUUGGAAGAGGCAGUAUGAAGGAACAAUGCCCACACUGCUUUUCGCAUGUCACUAACAUUACUAGUAUUUUGCCUUAUACCAUACCCAUAGUAUCUCUGUAGACGUUCAAUCACCUCACCAGUAAGCCUGCCUCUCCCUCCUAUUGUCUUUCCAUCACUGAGCUUACUUGAACCCAAAGUUCACUUGAGCCUUCGAAGCCGUGCACCCAUACGCUUUUGCACAUGCCCAAUGCAUUCCAACUUUUCAACUACAAAUUCAUUUCCAUAUGGUUUAAGUUCAUCUAUAGUCUUGAAACCUUUGGAGUGACCAUCCCCAAGGCAGUAUUUGUACCUAAUGUUGUAUCUGGGAACUGAACGUUCAAAAAUUUGUUUCACUCCAUCCACUUCCAUUGCUCCACUUGAUCCACUAAAAUUUGCCUCACAGGUUCCACUGUGCUCUCCUUUGAUUUUAUUUUUGCACCUACAAUGUUUUGAUAAUACUGCAACAUCUAUCACUUUUGCACUAUCACCACAAGUAGCAGUUACAACCCCAUUCAGGGAUUUAUGAGCCCUCUUUUGCCAGGAACCAUCUAAUGCCACUACCUAAUCCCUAGAACCACUGUUUCUUUCAGCAGAUUCCUCCACUGCUUCCUUCAUGGUUUUCAAAGCCACAUCUUCAACAGAGGAUCCUACCAGUUCACAAUAGUACCCAAAUUUGCUUGGAGGUGAUGGCAAGUUCAUAACACCACAAAACAGUUUACCAGCAGCAGACCCUUUUCCAAUGGAUCGAAGACGAUACACAAGUCGAACAUUCACAUCAAACACUCUAGAUCGUCCAUUUUCACCAAAGAGACUGGCAUGUGAAUUGUAGAAAGUCACUUGAUACUUGCAACAUGCACAGAUUAUCUUCAUCUCACAAGCUAAACCAAAGUGCUUUGUUAUCUCUAGUCCCACUCCUACACUUGAACACAUUUUGCACAGAACACUUUCUUUCGACACAGAAGAUAAUAAUCCAAUAUUCAGUACUUCGUUAAUAUCAUCACUGUCACUAGCAUAUUCAUGAAAUCUGUCACUUCCACCAGUCAGCUUCUUGCUAGAAGAUGUCACAGGGCUAUGGCCGGCCAUGUGUUGCUUUGCAGAAGAACGCACUGUUUCAGUAAUUGUAGUAUCGCAACUUGAUAUUAGUCUUAAUUUUCUUUUCCCUACGUUCUUCCUCUUCUUAUAUACAUGGUUACUAAAAUGUGGCAUCAUAACCAGAAAAACGCUUUACACAAGAAGUAUAAUACUACCAACAACGGGCGCAACACUGAACUAAUUCGAAACGGUAAACAUGAAAGAGACGAUGUUCCGCACUCUUAGCGCUUCAUUUGUCACAGAAAACAAUGUAGUCAACCCUUGCACACUCGCUGUAUGCGUAACGUAAGGCGCUGUAUGCGUAACAGGCCGAGAAAAUCCCAAGCAGUUCGCCAGGAAGUCACAAGAGGGUGUUAGAUGCAUUCAGUGGCCGCCCAUUUCCUCUGCAGGUGUGGGGGAAAAUGGUAAUAACUCUACUUCUAGGGCAAGUAGAACAAUAAUUCAAAGUUUACAUUAAAGAGAAAUUAAUUUUCGGUAGGGGGGAAAAAAUCUUAGUUUUUUUUGGAUUUGACUACCUCCGGCUCCCCUUAAGGGUUCCAUUUUUACCAACUGAGGUACAGAGUCCUAAAAAGAAUUUAGGGGAAAAAAUUAUAUAUCAGCUGAAGAAACAACUUGUAAAGGUUUAGGGAAAAAAUCAUUCAAUAUGGAAGAAUUCCAAGCCAGAAGAGUGAAAACUGGUAUGAAGUGAUCAGAAGGAAGAAGAAAAACACAAUGAACAGAUAAAGGGUUACUUGAAAGAAGGGAGGGGGGGGGGGGGGGGGGGGGGGGAGGUGUCUGCGAUUCUAUCAAAGUUUCUAUUAAGCAUAUUGAAAAGUACACAGUGCAAAUCCCUGGCACAGAA